AUACUUCCCUGGCAGUGGAGAUGCCAUGAUCAGGCAGGUGGUUUCCCCAGGUGAGGCUCACCCAUUGCACUUGGGCUGUGCUGACCCCUGCGAUUUCCCCAAAUGUGGGAAACUCAACUGCAUAAUUUGUGGGGUAGUGGGAUACUGCGUUUGCGCUCUGCCCUG
This is a small nuclear RNA of Ochotona curzoniae (black-lipped pika), 165 nucleotides long. RefSeq annotates it as U1 spliceosomal RNA. The record is from RefSeq and is a predicted model, not a curated record. Lineage: Eukaryota; Metazoa; Chordata; Mammalia; Lagomorpha; Ochotonidae. The transcript has a single exon.